RNAcentral lists this non-coding RNA (116 nucleotides) under bovine gut metagenome. RNAcentral's name for it is "FMN riboswitch (RFN element)". It matches the Rfam family "FMN riboswitch aptamer (RFN element)". Rfam says of the family: The RFN element is a highly conserved domain that is found frequently in the 5'-untranslated regions of prokaryotic mRNAs that encode for flavin mononucleotide (FMN) biosynthesis and transport proteins. This element is a metabolite-dependent riboswitch that directly binds FMN in the absence of proteins. The record is from RNAcentral.
UGUCUUCAGGGCGAGGUGCAAUUCCUCACCGGUGGUUAAAGCCCACGAGCAAAAAUUUAUUUGCUGAAUUGGUGUAAUUCCAAUGCCGACGGUUACAGUCCGGAUGAAAGAAGAUA